Molecule: ribosomal RNA, 507 nt
Filed under: Paenibacillaceae bacterium CL5.96
Lineage: Bacteria; Bacillati; Bacillota; Bacilli; Caryophanales; Paenibacillaceae
Description: bacterial SSU rRNA
Rfam family: Bacterial small subunit ribosomal RNA
Source: RNAcentral
CCCUGGCUCAGGACGAACGCUGGCGGCAUGCCUAAUACAUGCAAGUCGAGCGGACUUGAAGAGAAGCUUGCUUCUCGGAUGGUUAGCGGCGGACGGGUGAGUAACACGUAGGCAACCUGCCCUCAAGUUUGGGACAACUACCGGAAACGGUAGCUAAUACCGAAUAGUUGUUUUCUUCGCCUGAAGAGAACUGGAAAGACGGAGCAAUCUGUCACUUGGGGAUGGGCCUGCGGCGCAUUAGCUAGUUGGUGAGGUAACGGCUCACCAAGGCGACGAUGCGUAGCCGACCUGAGAGGGUGAUCGGCCACACUGGGACUGAGACACGGCCCAGACUCCUACGGGAGGCAGCAGUAGGGAAUCUUCCGCAAUGGGCGAAAGCCUGACGGAGCAAUGCCGCGUGAGUGAUGAAGGUUUUCGGAUCGUAAAGCUCUGUUGCCAGGGAAGAACGCUUGGGAGAGUAACUGCUCUCAAGGUGACGGUACCUGAGAAGAAAGCCCCGGCUAACUA